AUCGAACGCUGGCGGCAGGCUUAACACAUGCAAGUCGAGCGGAGCGGCGGACGGGUGUGUAAUGCCUAGGAAUCUGCCUGGUAGCGGGGGAUAACGACCGGAAACGGGCGCUAAUACCGCAUACUAUCAGAUGAGCCUAGGUCGGAUUAGCUAGUUGGUGGGGUAAAGGCCUCCCAAGGCGACGAUCCGUAACUGGUCUGAGAGGAUGAUCAGUCACACUGGGACUGGGACAGGGUCCAGACUCCUACGGGGAGCAGCAGUGGGGAAUAUUGGACAAUGGGCGAAAGACUGAUCCAGCCAGGCCGCGUGUGUGAAGAAGGUCUUCGGAUUGUAAAGCACGUUAAGUUGGGAGGCGUUACCAACAGAAUAAGCACCGGCUAACUUCGGGCCAGCAGCCGCGGUAAUAC
Molecule: ribosomal RNA, 407 nt
Filed under: uncultured bacterium
Lineage: Bacteria
Description: partial 16S ribosomal RNA
Rfam family: Bacterial small subunit ribosomal RNA
Source: RNAcentral